This 387-nucleotide ribosomal RNA is filed under the name Prasinoderma sp. Its description in RNAcentral is "partial small subunit ribosomal RNA". It matches the Rfam family "Eukaryotic small subunit ribosomal RNA", at positions 582 to 975 of the family's 1831-position model. The record is from RNAcentral. Lineage: Eukaryota; Viridiplantae; Prasinodermophyta; Prasinodermophyceae; Prasinodermales; Prasinodermaceae.
AUUCCAGCUCCAAUAGCGUAUAUUUAAGUUGUUGCAGUUAAAAAGCUCGUAGUUGGAUUUUGGGUCGGGGGUACCGGUCCGGUGUUUCACUGUGCACUGGUCUCCCCUUCCUUUCUGCCGGGGACGGCGUUUGCUCUUUACUGAGCGGCGUCGGAGUCGGCGUUGUUACUUUGAAAAAAUUAGAGUGUUCAAAGCAAGCCAUCGCUCUGAAUACAUUAGCAUGGAAUAACAUGAUAGGACUCCGGUCUUAUUUUGUUGGUUUCCGAGACUGGAGUAAUGAUUAAGAGGGACAGUCGGGGGCAUCCGUAUUUCAUUGUCAGAGGUGAAAUUCUUGGAUUUAUGAAAGACGAACUUCUGCGAAAGCAUUUGCCAAGGAUGUUUUCAUCA